RNAcentral lists this long non-coding RNA (690 nucleotides) under Chrysolophus pictus (golden pheasant). Its description in RNAcentral is "lncRNA (ENSCPIG00010012570.1)". Lineage: Eukaryota; Metazoa; Chordata; Aves; Galliformes; Phasianidae. The record is from RNAcentral.
UGGGGCAGAAACUGAAGCUCAUAGGACAGAUGAUGAGUUCUACGAAUCAAAUGACGAUCUCUAUGGGGCUGGGCUCAGCUCUGUGGGGCACAGCUGGGUUCUAUGGGGCAGAGCUGGGUUCUAUGGGGCAGAGCUGCAUUCUAUGGGGCAGAGCUGCGUUCUAUGGGGCAGAAACUGAAGCUCAUAGGACAGAUGAUGAGUUCUACGAAUCAAAUGACGAUCUCUAUGGGGCUGGGCUCAGCUCUGUGGGGCACAGCUGGGUUCUAUGGGGCAGAGCUGGGUUCUAUGGGGCAGAGCUGCAUUCUAUGGGGCAGAGCUGCGUUCUAUGGGGCAGGGGCUGCAUUCUAUGGGGCAGAGCUGCGUUCUAUGGGGGAGAGGCGGGCGCAGUGGGGCAGAGGCGGGCGCAGUGGGGCAGCCCCCCAGCACGUACCACUCCUCAUCCUUGUGCGCCAGGAAGAAGUCCUGCAUCUGCUGCCUCCUGAAGUCCAGCUUGUAGUCGUUGUAGCGCUUCACCGCCUCCGUCUCGUCCACGGCGUCGUCCAGCGACAGCAGGAACUCCUUGAAGCUCUUCAUCACGGGGGGGGCCAUCCCCAAAUCCACCUCCGCGAUGUUCCCCAGUCUGCUUGGGGGGGAGUGCGGGGCGUCACGACCCUCCCCCCUUGCGCCAGGAGGACCCGCACUCCCCGUUAG